GGAGGAAAAUUAAGCUGUGAACUGGAAUUCCAUCAGGCUGUCUACUGUAAAGCCUCGUAGCUUUAGAAAAGGGGCAGUAGUGGUCAGAAAUGACACCCAAAAGCAAAUAACAUGUAAUUAAUAGAAUUCCAGUUCCUGUGAAAGAGAGAAGAUGCUUUAACUUCACACAGCUAUCUAAAGGAAGCCAUUGUGUCAGCCUACUUUAGCUCCUUCAAGGAGCCAUCUCAGCGCUGCCAAGUGGAUUAGCUCCCGGAGGGGCGGCCGGCUCCCCCCGCCCGGGAUCGCAUCCGCAUCCUCGUCCAUCCCCGCGGG
This is a long non-coding RNA of Melospiza melodia melodia, 312 nucleotides long. RefSeq lists it as uncharacterized. The record is from RefSeq and is a predicted model, not a curated record. The transcript is spliced from 3 exons. Lineage: Eukaryota; Metazoa; Chordata; Aves; Passeriformes; Passerellidae.